Molecule: non-coding RNA, 536 nt
Filed under: Pongo abelii (Sumatran orangutan)
Lineage: Eukaryota; Metazoa; Chordata; Mammalia; Primates; Hominidae
Source: RNAcentral
GGGCGGAUGUGCAAUCUUCACCUGUUUAUUCGGUAGAGGGUGCCAUCUUCAGGUAGCCCUUCACGUUGUACAGAAAACAAUGGAGACUUCUCCUCCUGGGGCAGACAGAGUCUGGCUGGAGUGCAAUGACACGAUCUCAGCUCACUGCAAUCUCUGCCUCCUGGGUUCAAGUGAUUCUCCUGCCUCAGCCUCCCGAGUAGCUGGGACUACGGGUCUAUGUCCUUUCAUGUUCUCCAGUUUAAUCUUGCCUACAACUUUACUCCAGGCUCUAUGCUCCAGCCAUAAUCAAUUUAUGGGAAAACCAUCCUCUCUGGCAAACUUCUACCUAUCCUUCAAGAAGCAAUUCAACUAUCAUUCCUCUGUGAAGCCUAAGCAGUUAAUUACCCUUCCUCUAUAUGCCUAAAUCAUUUUGUUCACUCUUGGGGUAGUGCUGAUUGCACUGUGAACUUGCGAGGCAGGACACACUGUCUUAUUUACGUUUGUUGAGUUUCCUAACAGAGAAUAGAUACUCAAUAUAUGAAUGAAUAAUCUUGUUU